UUACUUGUAUUGCCGUGGGUAUCCCCUAGCGAGACAGUGUUGAAUAUAUGCCUGUCUCUGUGGAUUUUCCUUAAACGCGAUGCGUCGCGACGCCACAGAGUCACGUCCUCGGAAAGGACCUAAUGAUACCGUGGAAAAAGUUUUGCCGGUGAAAGUAUAGGUUAUUCCGUACCAGGUAUUGAGAUUCCUGAACUCCUGGGAGUCAUUUGGGAUGAUUGUGCUUGACGUGUCUCUCCUUUUUUGCCCUCAAAUAUAUUAUGUAUGUCCUCUGUACAAGGUAUAAUGGCGUCGCGAGUCUUUUUGCGCAACGGUCAAUAUGACUGUCUUGAAUAACCUAUAAAGUAUUGCGCUGUAGAAAAAGAUAUCCACGAUCUAAGGGUACGCGAUCGAUGUCAAUCGAGAUCGUUAAUAGGCGCGACACGAACUCGAGAAGUUGCAUAGGAAUCGCAAGGAAGCGAACGGACAAUAAGAUUGUAAGGCAGAAAGAGCGAAGGAGUGGAGCGUAACAAUGUGCAAUGACUUAUUCCUUCGUGUCUUCUAUCCUGGUGGCUCCUUACUUCUGUACUUAUAACUAUUCGUUUCCGUUGCUGUCAGGUAAGACACAAGAGAAAUAUCUGCACUGUAAUAUACAUUUCCUAGCGUUGUUCGACUUCGUUAACGAAUAUAAAGUAGCGUCUCGGCAAAACUGAUUGCAAAGCCCGCCAUGUUUUUCGAGGCGCCUAUUCGAGCGUAACGAUCAGCCAAUCAGCUGCGAGCAGCCACUGCUAGAGUCAGAUUAUACUUUGUACAAACGUUGCCGUAUGUCGGGCCGGGAGAGAAAUAGCACUGUAAUUUGACGAGUAUUAAGUUGAGUAAACACAAGUGCAAUUACAUAAAUAUAACAAACGAUCGAGGUUCACGUAUGUGCCUACCUACUUUCUUGACUAGCUAGGUUAGCCAGCCGAGUAGCCGAUGGCCGCUACUUGUCGACUAAACUGGCAAACCCGUCACCCAUAUACAUACAUGUAUUAAGCACAGGCCGAGUUCGUGCAAGCAUAUUCGUAGCAGUGCAAACAAACCUAGAGGUUUUAUAUUACCUUCCGAACAAGUUGCCAGCUAUCCACAAGCAGAUUUCUAGGACUGAUGCUUCAGCUUUUUUCCUCGAAGUCAUACGAGCCACACCAAUCUUAUUGAUUCUCUUGGAGCCUUAAUUUUCGUAUAUAUGUAUAUAUACUUCCAGAUAAAUGCUAGGCAGCUUGCGCUUCCGUUUGCCAAUUCCUCAAAAAGCUCAUUCGUAUAGCAGGCCUUCGCGAUACGUUUAUCGGCACUGUGCAAUAAUGAUAGAAGACAGCCACACGAUUCGUCGAAUGUUUCCCUACUUACGAAAUGGCGGCGUGAGUGGGGAAUGAUGAAUUUGCGUACUGGUGACAACAGGAGUACAAGCUGUGGUAGGGCUGAGUUCCGCAUGCGGCCUGGUUUCCUUGGCUUCCCGUUCACAAACAGAUCCGGG
Molecule: long non-coding RNA, 1489 nt
Organism: Cephus cinctus (wheat stem sawfly)
Lineage: Eukaryota; Metazoa; Arthropoda; Insecta; Hymenoptera; Cephidae
Exons: 3
Source: RefSeq, a predicted model, not a curated record